ACUUUCUAAUGCUAGUGAUGCCAACUUCUCGUCCAUAUUAACUGAACCGUUGUACUCUUGUAAAUCAGGAAGACAAUCACCCUCUAAGAUGGAAAUUUCCCAAGAAUUGCUGUAGCCCAUUGGCUCCCUCUGUGCUGUCCUCUUAGAAGAAGCUGAUUUAUAACCUACAUUCUCCCACUUGCUCACUCUCCACUAUCAGGCUGUCCUCCAGACAAAGCUAAGUGGGUUCAGAAGAAACAAAUAACUACGAUGUUCCCCGUAGGCCUGGUUUCUUUUUAUCAGUUUGUGUUUGGUGAUUCCUCGUUCUUUUUCAAGUUAGAGAUUUUCCUCAAAAUCUGGUUCACCUGGCUUGCCAAGAGUGGCUGAUUGAUUCCUAGUGUGCUCAAAGUGUUCCAUUGCCUGCGGUCUACAAGAAGUAUUUCCUGAGUCUGGAGAUCCUUCCGUCACUUGUGGAUUCACAGGAAAU
Long non-coding RNA from Zalophus californianus (California sea lion), 466 nucleotides. RefSeq lists it as uncharacterized. Lineage: Eukaryota; Metazoa; Chordata; Mammalia; Carnivora; Otariidae. The transcript is spliced from 3 exons. The record is from RefSeq and is a predicted model, not a curated record.